AUACCUUUCUCGGCCUUUUGGCUAAGAUCAAGUGUAGUAUCUGUUCUUAUCAGUUUAAUAUCUGAUAUGUAGCUCAUUAGGUCACAUGAUAUUAAAUUAAUUUUUCAGCGGGGGAGGGGCCGCCACACUAGCUUGCUAGUGGGCCCCUUGAGCGUCGCCCUUGCGCUGCACUACUGCAAGGGUCGAGCGCACCCUUA
This 197-nucleotide small nuclear RNA is filed under the name Amborella trichopoda. Its description in RNAcentral is "snRNA U2". It matches the Rfam family "U2 spliceosomal RNA". Rfam says of the family: U2 is a small nuclear RNA (snRNA) component of the spliceosome (involved in pre-mRNA splicing). Complementary binding between U2 snRNA (in an area lying towards the 5' end but 3' to hairpin I) and the branchpoint sequence (BPS) of the intron results the bulging out of an unpaired adenosine, on the BPS, which initiates a nucleophilic attack at the intronic 5' splice site, thus starting the first of two transesterification reactions that mediate splicing. The record is from Rfam by way of RNAcentral. Lineage: Eukaryota; Viridiplantae; Streptophyta; Magnoliopsida; Amborellales; Amborellaceae.